UAUGUGAUCGUCUCUCGCAUAUCAAUAAGCGGAGGAAAAGAAACUAACAAGGAUUCCCCUAGUAACGGCGAGUGAAGCGGGAAGAGCUCAAAUUUGAAAUCUUAAAGGGUUUCCCUUUACGAAUUGUAGUUUAAAGAAGUGUUUUCUGUUGAGGUUUUGGUAAAAGUUCUUUGGAAUAGGACAUCAUAGAGGGUGAGAAUCCCGUAUUUGACCUUUACUUCCAACUUUGUGAUACACUUUCAAAGAGUCGGAUUGUUUGGGAAUGCAGUCCAAAAUGGGUGGUAAAUUUCAUCUAAAGCUAAAUAUUGGCGAGAGACCGAUAGCGAACAAGUACCGUGGGGGAAAGAUGAAAAGAACUUUGAAAAGAGAGUUAAACAGUACGUGAAAUUGUCAAAAGGGAAGCGUUUGACACCAGUGUUGUUUUUCUGAGAAUCAAUUAAAGAACUGUUUAUGCUAAGUUGUUUAGACUUUAUCAGCUAACUGUUUAGUUUUGAGCUUUUCUUUAAUGCACUUUUCAGUUAACAAGUCAACAUCAAUUUCUUUUGCUGUAAAAAAGCUUGAGGAAGGUGGCUUGAGAUUCGUCUUAAGUGUUUAUAGCCUCUUGCCUAUGCAGUCGGAGAGAUUGAGGUCUGCAGCGUAGAUCCUUCGGGGCUAAAUGCAUUUGUGCUAAGUUAUAGCAUUUUAUAGACAACUUGUUGACUAUGAUUUGUCUUGUAGCUUACUCGCUUAUGUUAUUUUACCUACGCUUAGGAUGUUGAUCUACAGAGCGAGAGU
Molecule: ribosomal RNA, 774 nt
Filed under: uncultured Neocallimastigales
Lineage: Eukaryota; Fungi; Neocallimastigomycota; Neocallimastigomycetes; Neocallimastigales
Description: partial large subunit ribosomal RNA
Rfam family: Eukaryotic large subunit ribosomal RNA
Source: RNAcentral